Molecule: ribosomal RNA, 497 nt
Filed under: uncultured bacterium
Lineage: Bacteria
Description: partial 16S ribosomal RNA
Rfam family: Bacterial small subunit ribosomal RNA
Source: RNAcentral
GAUGAACGCUGGCGGCGUGCCUAAUACAUGCAAGUCGAGCGAACAGACGAGGAGCUUGCUCCUCUGACGUUAGCGGAGGACGUGUGAGUAACACGUGGAUAACCUACCUAUAAGAGUGGGAUAACUUCGGGAAACGGGAGCUAAUCCCGGAUAAUAUAUUGAACCGCAUGGUUCAAUAGUGAAAGACGGUUUUGCGGUCACUUAUAGAUGGAUCCGCGCCGCAUUAGCUAGUUGGUAAGGUAACGGCUUACCAAGGCAACGAUGCGUAGCCGACCUGAGAGGGUGAUCGGCCACACUGGAACUGAGACACGGUCCAGACUCCUACGGGAGGCAGCAGUAGGGAAUCUUCCGCAAUGGGCGAAAGCCUGACGGAGCAACGCCGCGUGAGUGAUGAAGGUCUUCGGAUCGUAAAACUCUGUUAUUAGGGAAGAACAAAUGUGUAAGUAACUAUGCACGUCUUGACGGUACCUAAUCAGAAAGCCACGGCUAACUACGUG